AGUAGGGAAUCUUGCGCAAUGGGCGAAAGCCUGACGCAGCAACGCCGCGUGGGGGAUGAAGGCUUUCGGGUUGUAAACCCCUUUCAGUAGGGACGAAUCAAGACGGUACCUACAGAAGAAGCCCCGGCCAACUACGUGCCAGCAGCCGCGGUAACACGUAGGGGGCGAGCGUUGUCCGGAUUUAUUGGGCGUAAAGAGCUCGUAGGUGGUUCGGUAAGUCGGGUGUGAAAACUCCAGGCUCAACCUGGAGACGCCACUCGAUACUGCUGUGACUCGAGUCCGGUAGGGGAGCGUGGAAUUCCUGGUGUAGCGGUGAAAUGCGCAGAUAUCAGGAGGAACACCAGCGGCGAAGGCGGCGCUCUGGGCCGGAACUGACGCUGAGGAGCGAAAGCGUGGGUAGCGAA
RNAcentral lists this ribosomal RNA (404 nucleotides) under uncultured Acidimicrobiales bacterium. RNAcentral's name for it is "bacterial SSU rRNA". It matches the Rfam family "Bacterial small subunit ribosomal RNA", at positions 353 to 772 of the family's 1533-position model. Lineage: Bacteria; Bacillati; Actinomycetota; Acidimicrobiia; Acidimicrobiales. The record is from RNAcentral.